Molecule: ribosomal RNA, 345 nt
Filed under: uncultured bacterium
Lineage: Bacteria
Description: partial 16S ribosomal RNA
Rfam family: Bacterial small subunit ribosomal RNA
Source: RNAcentral
CCUACGGAGGGCUGCAGUGAGGAAUAUUGGUCAAUGGGCGAGAGCCUGAACCAGCCAAGUCGCGUGAAGGAUGACGGCCCUACGGGUUGUAAACUUCUUUUGUCAGGGAGCAAGGGGGACCACGCGAGGGCUUAGCGAGAGGACCUGAAGAAAAAGCAGCGGCUAACUCCGUGCCAGCAGCCGCGGUAAUACGGAGGAUGCGAGCGUUAGCAGGAUUUAUUGGGUUGACAGGGUGCGUAGGCGGAAGAUCAAGUCAGCGGUCAAAAUUCGGGGCUCAACCCCGUCGUGCCGUUGAAACUGCUGUUCUUGAGUGGGCGAGCAGUAUGCGGACUGCGUGGUGUAGCG